This 914-nucleotide long non-coding RNA is filed under the name Oncorhynchus kisutch (coho salmon). Its description in RNAcentral is "lncRNA (ENSOKIG00005044127.1)". The record is from RNAcentral. Lineage: Eukaryota; Metazoa; Chordata; Actinopteri; Salmoniformes; Salmonidae.
CAGAACAUGGACACAAUGCAAUUGGGAUCAAGAAGGUACAGAUGUUGUAGGACAGCUGCAUUUGAAGUGUACAUUUAACCUACCUAGCAGUCAAUACAAACUGAAGUCUAUUAGCAUACAAAUGUGUAUAAAUUAUCUUUUCAGAUCUUCUCAGAAAUGAAUCAAGUCCAUGGAAUGGAUAUAGACAAAAAGAGAAUUCAAGGACUAGCAGAGGUAAAGAGGUGAGGCAGGGGUGAGGAGACCAUCCUGCUAUUUUGACAGUCCCUGAAGGACAAUACAGAAGAGGACUGGAGACCACAGCAGCGAUCCUGCUCUUGCCCUACCUCUUCAAGAGGACCCGAGUGGCCUUUAUGUCAGUGACAAGAUUUCACCACUCUUCACUCCGUUACUGCACAUCGGCGGAAAUCCAUUUCACCAUGAGAGUGAAAUCCCGCUGGCCUUUGAUGGGGAGAACGUCCACGCCCUCGAGGACUUGGGGCUCUGCUACGACUGCAUUUAAAAAAUCCCUUAAAUUUCCCAAAAUGUCAGAAAAACACAUAUGUUCUUAAGUUACUGUGUUCUGGGGAUAAGAGAAGUUGGGGUGAAGUUACCAGGACCGGUCAUAAAGAUGGCAAAAUUCCGAACAUAACUAAAUGGAUACGAUAUACACACUAAAGCUGAAAAAUCUGUAUUUAGCAUCAAGUCUACAAUAUUGUUAGUUUACCUAUGAUUCAUUUUUAAUGUAUGUUGUUUUUAUUGUACAUCAUUAUUCAUAUAUAUUUUUUAAAUGUCAUGAAAAGCCCUAUACAAAGUAAAUGUAUUAUUUAUUAUGGUCUGACAUGUCUGCAGAAACUUUGCAAUUUUGUAAAGUGUUUGUUUGGUAAACUGUUUUGUAAAUAUGAAUUCAUAUUUGUGGUGCCACUAAAUAAACAAUU